RNAcentral lists this ribosomal RNA (455 nucleotides) under uncultured Bacillota bacterium. RNAcentral describes it as "bacterial SSU rRNA". It matches the Rfam family "Bacterial small subunit ribosomal RNA", at positions 924 to 1382 of the family's 1533-position model. Lineage: Bacteria; Bacillati; Bacillota. The record is from RNAcentral.
CACAAGCGGUGGAGCAUGUGGUUUAAUCGAAGCAACGCGAAGAACCUUACCAGGUCUUGACAUCCUUUUGAAUGGUCUAGAGAUAGAUCAGGCCUUCGGGACAGAAGAGACAGGUGGUGCAUGGUUGUCGUCAGCUCGUGUCGUGAGAUGUUGGGUUAAGUCCCGCAACGAGCGCAACCCUUAUCAUUAGUUGCUAACAUUCAGUUGAGAACUCUAAUGAGACUGCCAGUGAUAAACUGGAGGAAGGUGGGAUGACGUCAAAUCAUCAUGCCCCUUAUGACCUGGGCUACACACGUGCUACAAUGGCCGGUACAAAGAGUUGCGAAACUGUGAAGUUAAGCUAAUCUCAUAAAGCCGGUCUCAGUUCGGAUUGUAGUCUGCAACUCGACUACAUGAAGUCGGAAUCGCUAGUAAUCGCGAAUCAGAAUGUCGCGGUGAAUACGUUCUCGAGUCUU